UUAGUUAAUUCUCUUAGCCAGUGGCAAAGGGGACCUUUAUGUUAUAAGGAUCAGUGAGAGUUUGAGGGGGUAUCCUUUCCUAGCUGCCCUCUGGAUUGUAACCAGAGCUUAGAGCCACCACUGCUCAUCCAUCUCCACCCUGUUGCCCUGAUCUUCAGCACUAGCUUCUGAUGAACAGUUUCCUUGACAACCAGAGUAACACCUCCAGUCUGCCACCUCUGAGAUGAAAAGGGUAACGAAAAGCAUAAGCUUUUAGUGUCCCUGCAGGGUUCCAAUACCUCUCCUGCCCAGCCGGUGUUCCAACCUGGGAGUUGCCAGAACUAAAGAUGGCAAUGACAGUGUUCCAAGAUGGAGGUGACUACUUUCAGUUAUCCAUUUCUCAUCAGCCAGAACUUCAGUGAGAGCAGCCUCGGACAACUUCUCCAAAGCAAAGAAAUCAACUCCAUGAUGUUGAAGAGGGAAGAGAAAAGGGCAGUGGACUGAGACUUAGGAAAGCUCACUCCGGUCUCUAAUUUCCCAUAUCUGGCUGCUGGACUGGACCAGACUGACAGCUCUCUUUCUGACUCACCGCAUUUUGCCCAUCAGCAGAUCUUGUGAUCUCUACAUGAAUCUAAUCACUUCUCAUUUCUGCCUCUGCUGCUCCUUUGGUCUGAGCAACCACUAUUCUUCCUGGGAUUAUCCUAACAAUGUUUAAAUGCCUCUCCUUGCUUCUCUUUUUACCUACUCCCAAUUCCUGACCCAGGAACAAGAAUGUCCUUUUAAAACAAAAGUCAAAUCAUGUUACUUCUCUGCAUAAAACACUCCAAUGACUUCCUGUCUCACUCACUGGAAAGAACAGCCUUCUUUUCAAUGGUCUCUAAAGCCUUAUGUAAGGUGGACUUCCAUUUAUUUAUGAUCUCAUCUCUUAACUCUCUCAUCUUCAGUUUUUCCAUCCACGUACUGAAAUAUGAAGUACAUCUCUGCCUCAGGGCCUUUGAACUGCUAUUCUCCCUGCAUGAAAUGCUCUUUCUCCAGAAAAUCAUGUUGGUUCUCUUAUCUCUUUCAGUCACUUAACUAAAGAGGCUGUCAUUGGAUCAUUUCAUAUAAAAUAGCAACCUCCUCUCCAUUCUACCUCCAGCACCACCUCCUGCACCAUGCAUUUACCCUGCUUUACAUCUGUCUAUAGCACUUAUCACCAUCUAAUGCCCCACAUUUGUUGAGCUGCCUAUUUUUUUGUCUCUUGUACAUGAAAAUAUAAGCAUCUUGAGGAACAGAAAAUUUACUAUGUCCACUGUUAUAUCUCCAAUGCCUAAAAUUGUAUCUGGAACAUGAUAGUUACUUAACAAUCAUGAGUUGAAUAAAUGAAUUUCAAAUGA
Molecule: long non-coding RNA, 1355 nt
Organism: Marmota flaviventris (yellow-bellied marmot)
Lineage: Eukaryota; Metazoa; Chordata; Mammalia; Rodentia; Sciuridae
Source: RefSeq, a predicted model, not a curated record